Non-coding RNA from Phascolarctos cinereus (koala), 247 nucleotides. The record is from RefSeq and is a predicted model, not a curated record. Lineage: Eukaryota; Metazoa; Chordata; Mammalia; Diprotodontia; Phascolarctidae.
GAUAUGCCCAGGGUCGUGUAGCUAGUGGCCUGACACUUUAAUUCCAUUACUCAAAACCAGAUGGCGUCACUUGAAGAAUAUUGGUGUAAAGAAACAGUACCUGCAGCAGAAUGGUGGUCAUGUCAAAGGAGAGAAGUGGGCAGAUGGGAGAUAUGUUCUGAAGAUACAUGCAAACAAGAAAGAGGCCAGGCCUACUCAUCCUCUUGCCUAAUUGUUGUCCUCCGGAAUUUCCUCCCCACUUGAUUCC